GCCUCGGACGAAUACCAUAGGGGGUAGAGCACUGUUUCGGCUAGGGGGUCAUCCCGACUUACCAAACCGAUGCAAACUCCGAAUACCUAUGAGUACUAUCCGGGAGACAGACUGCGGGUGCUAACGUCCGUAGUCAAGAGGAAAACAAUCCAGACCGCCAGCUAAGGCCCCAAAAUCAUAGUUAAGUGGGAAACGAUGUGGGAAGGCAUAGACAGCUAGGAGGUUGGCUUAGAAGCAGCCACCCUUUAAAGAAAGCGUAAUAGCUCACUAGUCGAGUCGGCCUGCGCGGAAGAUGUAACGGGGCUAAAACUAUGUGCCGAAGCUGCGGAUGUAUACUUUGUAUACGUGGUAGGGGAGCGUUCUGUAAGCCGAUGAAGGUGUGUUGAGAAGCAUGCUGGAGGUAUCAGAAGUGCGAAUGCUGACGUGAGUAACGACAAAACGGGUGAAAAACCCGUUCGCCGAAAGACCAAGGGUUCCAGUCCAACGUUAAUCGGGGCUGGGUGAGUCGACCCCUAAGGCGAGGCCGAAAGGCGUAGUCGAUGGGAAAAUGGUUAAUAUUCCAUUACUUCUGUGUAAUGCGAUGAGAGGACGGAGAAGGCUAAAUCAGCCUGGCGUUGGUUGUCCAGGUGAAAGGAUGUAGGCAUGUAUCUUAGGCAAAUCCGGGGUACUCUAUGCUGAGAUCUGAUAGCAAGCUGUACUUGUACAGCGAAGUGGUUGAUGCCAUGCUUCCAGGAAAAGUCUCUAAGCUUCAGUUACACAGGAAUCGUACCCGAAACCGACACAGGUGGUCAGGUCGAGUAGACCAAGGCGCUUGAGAGAACUCUGCUGAAGGAACUAGGCAAAAUGGUACCGUAACUUCGGGAGAAGGUACGCUGUUGUUGGUGAUGGAACUCGCUUCCUGAGCUGACGACAGCCGCAGAAACCAGGCCGCUGCAACUGUUUAUUAAAAACAUAGCACUCUGCAAACACGAAAGUGGACGUAUAGGGUGUGAUGCCUGCCCGGUGCUGGAAGGUUAAUUGAUGGGGUUAGCGUAAGCGAAGCUCUUGAUCGAAGCCCCAGUAAACGGCGGCCGUAACUAUAACGGUCCUAAGGUAGCGAAAUUCCUUGUCGGGUAAGUUCCGACCUGCACGAAUGGCAUAAUGAUGGCGGCGCUGUCUCCAGCAGAGGCUCAGUGAAAUCGAAAUCGCUGUGAAGAUGCAGUGUACCCGCGGCUAGACGGAAAGACCCCGUGAACCUUUACUGCAGCUUGACACUGAACUUUGACCUUACUUGUGUAGGAUAGGUGGGAGGCUUUGAAGCUGGAACGCUAGUUCCAGUGGAGCCGUCCUUGAAAUACCACCCUGGUAAUGUUGAGGUUCUAACUCUGUCCCGUGAUCCGGGACGAGGACCGUGUCUGGUGGGUAGUUUGACUGGGGCGGUCUCCUCCUAAAGAGUAACGGAGGAGUACGAAGGUGCGCUCAGCGUGGUCGGAAAUCACGCGUAGAGUAUAAAGGCAAAAGCGCGCUUAACUGCGAGACCCACAAGUCGAGCAGGUACGAAAGUAGGUCUUAGUGAUCCGGUGGUUCUGUAUGGAAGGGCCAUCGCUCAACGGAUAAAAGGUACUCUGGGGAUAACAGGCUGAUACCGCCCAAGAGUUCAUAUCGACGGCGGUGUUUGGCACCUCGAUGUCGGCUCAUCUCAUCCUGGGGCUGAAGCAGGUCCCAAGGGUAUGGCUGUUCGCCAUUUAAAGAGGUACGCGAGCUGGGUUUAGAACGUCGUGAGACAGUUCGGUCCCUAUCUACCGUGGGCGCUGGAAAUUUGAGAGGAUCUGCUCCUAGUACGAGAGGACCAGAGUGGACGAACCUCUGGUGUACCGGUUGUGACGCCAGUCGCAUCGCCGGGUAGCUAUGUUCGGAAGGGAUAACCGCUGAAAGCAUCUAAGCGGGAAGCCUACCUCAAGAUAAGAUUUCCCUAGGACUUUAUGUCCUCUAAAGAGCCGUUCGAGACUAGGACGUUGAUAGGUUGGAUGUGGAAGCAUAGUGAUAUGUGAAGCUGACCAAUACUAAUUGCUCGUGAGGCUUGACUAU
Molecule: ribosomal RNA, 2067 nt
Filed under: Acinetobacter baumannii
Lineage: Bacteria; Pseudomonadati; Pseudomonadota; Gammaproteobacteria; Moraxellales; Moraxellaceae
Description: partial 23S ribosomal RNA
Rfam family: Bacterial large subunit ribosomal RNA
Source: RNAcentral